Molecule: long non-coding RNA, 585 nt
Filed under: Musa acuminata (dwarf banana)
Lineage: Eukaryota; Viridiplantae; Streptophyta; Magnoliopsida; Zingiberales; Musaceae
Description: long non-coding RNA (MACU_LNC003099)
Source: RNAcentral
UCCACGUAUCAUCAGCCAUACCCAGUUUGACUCGGAAGCGGAGGUGGUGGGCCCUGCUGUGGCUGGUGGUGAUGGUGAUCAGCGGUGGGAGGCGAUGGCGCGGCGGAGGACCUGGACGAGGACGGCGGGGGAGCUGAGGUGGGGGAGGUGGCCCUCGAUGGGGAGGAGCUCGAUGGUGGUGCGGCCGCCGAGGUGGGCCUUGAGGUAGGCGGCGACGGAGGCGGGGACGGAGACGUCCUUGGCGGUCUGGACGACGACGCAGGGGGUGCGGACGAGGCCCAGCACCCCGCGCAGGUCGCUGUUUACCACCGUCCGCGACACGAACAGCGAGAUGUCCGGCCUCAUGUUGAACAGCGUCCGGCUGAACUCCCGCACCGCCGCCGGCACGUCCGCCCCCACCGCCAGCGGCGCGAACCCCUGCACCCACGCCUCGUAGUUCGCCUCCAUCGCCGCGAAUACCUUCUCGAACUCUUCCCUCUCGAAGCCCCCAUGGUAGUCUCCAUCAUUCAGGAACCUACCCAGCAUCCCAGACAAGAACAGCAAACACCUCACCCAAAUCAGUCGCCAGAAACUGCUGUACCAAGU